GCCAUUUCCGGAUCCGGUGGCGAUAGCUGCCGGGUUAGUUAAGAGCCGCGAUGCACUGGCGCGUGAUUUGAGUUAUGGCGCGCGUAUCGCCGGGGAUGUUGGGGCGCAGCUCGAGGCAGAAGGGCGAGGCAGAGGGCGUGCGCCCUCUGUGCCUGCGCCGCCUGCCAUUGACUUCUCGGCUGAGAGCUCGGACCCCAAGCGUGAUGGAAAAGAAGAGGUGUCAGAGGAAGACUCUCCCACCCGGUUCAGAGUUACUCUGAUUUGGAAAAUGACGCUCAGCGCACGGCUCCUGGAGUCGUCUCCCAGGAGCCGAAACCGAAGGAUCGAAGCUAACGGGAAAAAAUAACGGCUUUGGGUUACAGUUACCAAGAGCUGCCCACAAAUAGGUCAAUUCAUUUAAUUCUCGUGUAACCUUGCAAGGUUGGGUGAAGUGGGAUCUUUACAAAUGAAGAACUGAGACAGGUUAAAUAAUUCGUUUAAAAAUCAUAGCUACUAGUGGUGGGACUCCGUGUAAACAAACUGGAUACGAUGUUACUUAGCGAGUUAUUUGUAAUAUCGGAGACGCCUGUUUCUCCCUUAGCUGGAGGCAUGGCCAAAUUAUGGACUAUCAAGUUACAAAAUACUAUGUUACACUAAACACGGAAGUUGCCCAGGACAUAGUUCGGAGUGGAAAACAAAAUGCAAGUUUUGCAGAAAAUGUGUUUUUAGCCAUUGUUUUUGCAAAACCAAACCCUUUCAAAACAAUGCUGUUCUAUUGUAGUACACACUUAUCUAUGUAAUUGAAUAAAGACUGGAGUAAUAUACACUAAACCGACAGCUGUGUAGGGGAGGGAAGGGGGAGGCAUAGGGAUUUAAGAGAGUUAUGGUAGAACAGAACUUUAUUCUUACAAAGUUUAGUAAUUUGAGAAAAAAAUCUGCCUGAUGAUGUGAGGAUACAAGGGUUAUGAUAAUAUGGACAUAAAAAUAGAGGUUCUCAGGGGCCUCCAAAAGGACAUCAAAAGUCAUUUUUAACAGUGCAGUAUUUCGUUAGUCUCACGGAGCUUUGAAAAAAAAGAAAGUUACCUCAAAACUGCCCUUGUUCUACAUUACAUGGCUUAUAUUGGAUGGAAACUAAGAGGCGUUAAGUAAAAUUAGAUAUCUUUUCAAAUAUGCACCCUGAUAUUUUCAGUUGAAAUAUUUUAUAGCUUAACUUUAUAAAAUGGUGAUUAUUAUUUAUAUAGUUAUUCAUUUUUAAUAUUAACAACUCACUGAAAUCAUAUAUCUGACUAGCCCUAUAUAAAAAUUGUUAAAAACACUUAACAUCUCUUGCAUGUUGCACUGGGGUUGACACCCCACAACUUAAAAGAGAGAAGUCCAGGGACUGAAAUGG
This 1369-nucleotide long non-coding RNA is filed under the name Cervus hanglu yarkandensis (Yarkand deer). RNAcentral describes it as "lncRNA (ENSCHYG00000019554.1)". The record is from RNAcentral. Lineage: Eukaryota; Metazoa; Chordata; Mammalia; Artiodactyla; Cervidae.